This is a long non-coding RNA of Sapajus apella (tufted capuchin), 115 nucleotides long. RefSeq lists it as uncharacterized. The transcript has 3 exons. NCBI's taxonomy places the organism in Eukaryota, Metazoa, Chordata, Mammalia, Primates, Cebidae. The record is from RefSeq and is a predicted model, not a curated record.
CCAGCCUGGGUGACAGAGUGAGAUUCCAUCUCAAAAAAAAAAAAAGAAAAGAAAAUGAAAAUGUAGCAAUUUAAGGUUUUUAUAAAAGGCAAUAAAGUUCAGGAUUUAAGUUACA